UCGGUAGCUCAGCUGGUAGCAGCGUUGCACUGUCAAUGCGCGAGGUCGCUGGGGCGGAUCCAGCCGGCCGGUCCA
RNAcentral lists this transfer RNA (75 nucleotides) under Variovorax paradoxus. RNAcentral's name for it is "tRNA-Asp". RNAcentral also lists the same sequence under 1 other name. The record is from RNAcentral. Lineage: Bacteria; Pseudomonadati; Pseudomonadota; Betaproteobacteria; Burkholderiales; Comamonadaceae.